GUAGGUGGCAAGCGUUGUCCGGAAUUAUUGGGCGUAAAGCGCGCGCAGGCGGUUCUUUAAGUCUGAUGUGAAAGCCCACGGCUCAACCGUGGAGGGUCAUUGGAAACUGAGAACUUGAGUACAGAAGAGGAAAGCGGAAUUCCACGUGUAGCGGUGAAAUGCGUAGAGAUGUGGAGGAACACCAGUGACGAAGGCGGCUUUCUGGUCUGUAACUGACGCUGGGGCGCGAAAGCGUGGGGAGCAAACAGGGAUUAGAUACCCUGGUAGUCCACGCCGUAAACGAUGAGUGCUAAGUGUUAGGGGGUUUCCCGCCCCUUAGUGCUGCAGCUAACGCAUUAAGCACUCCGCCUGGGGAGUACGGCCGCAAGGCUG
RNAcentral lists this ribosomal RNA (372 nucleotides) under uncultured organism. RNAcentral describes it as "partial 16S ribosomal RNA". It matches the Rfam family "Bacterial small subunit ribosomal RNA", at positions 527 to 896 of the family's 1533-position model. The record is from RNAcentral.